Molecule: ribosomal RNA, 435 nt
Filed under: uncultured bacterium
Lineage: Bacteria
Description: partial 16S ribosomal RNA
Rfam family: Bacterial small subunit ribosomal RNA
Source: RNAcentral
AGCGAACGCUGGCGGCAGGCUUAACACAUGCAAGUCGAGCGGGCACUUUCGGGUGUCCGCGGCGGACGGGUGAGUAACGCGUGGGAACGUGCCCUCCGGUUCGGAAUAACUCAGGGAAACUUGAGCUAAUACCGGAUACGCCCUUUUGGGGAAAGGCUUGCUGCCGGAGGAUCGGCCCGCGUCUGAUUAGCUAGUUGGUGAGGUAACGGCUCACCAAGGCGACGAUCAGUAGCUGGUCUGAGAGGAUGAUCAGUCACACUGGGACUGAGACACGGCCCAGACUCCUACGGGAGGCAGCAGUGGGGAAUAUUGGACAAUGGGCGCAAGCCUGAUCCAGCCAUGCCGCGUGAGUGAUGAAGGCCUUAGGGUUGUAAAGCUCUUUUAUCCGGGACGAUAAUGACGGUACCGGAGGAAUAAGCCCCGGCUAACUUCGUG